This 255-nucleotide ribosomal RNA is filed under the name uncultured Gardnerella sp. RNAcentral describes it as "partial 16S ribosomal RNA". It matches the Rfam family "Bacterial small subunit ribosomal RNA", at positions 99 to 355 of the family's 1533-position model. Lineage: Bacteria; Bacillati; Actinomycetota; Actinomycetes; Bifidobacteriales; Bifidobacteriaceae. The record is from RNAcentral.
CGAACGGGUGAGUAAUGCGUGACCAACCUGCCCCAUGCUCCAGAGUAGCUCUUGGAAACGGGUGGUAAUGCUGGAUGCUCCAACUUGACGCAUGUCUUGUUGGGAAAGUGUUUAGUGCAUGGGAUGGGGUCGCGUCCUAUCAGCUUGUAGGCGGGGUAAUGGCCCACCUAGGCUUCGACGGGUAGCCGGCCUGAGAGGGCGGACGGCCACAUUGGGACUGAGAUACGGCCCAGACUCCUACGGGAGGCAGCAGCC